RNAcentral lists this long non-coding RNA (2684 nucleotides) under Homo sapiens (human). Its description in RNAcentral is "non-protein coding RHPN1-AS1:1". Lineage: Eukaryota; Metazoa; Chordata; Mammalia; Primates; Hominidae. The record is from RNAcentral.
CUGGCCAUUGCCCAAUAGGCGGCAAUGCCGCUUCGACGGACAGCUAUAUCAGCCAACCAGAGUUCCAGGAAGGCGGGCUCUGGACGGCCAGCUCCGCCCGCCCGCGGGACGGUAACCCCUGGCAACCGCGGCCGGAACGCCCGCGGCUGGCUGGCAGGUUGUACUGCGCAUGCGCCGCGGCGGCCGCUGAGCGUGCGGGAGAAGUUCGGGAAACGGAGAAAAAAACUAUACGGAACGUCCCAAGCUGAGAGUCAGGGCGGACCUGGACUCGGCGCGCCUAGCUCCUCGGCUCCCUUUGCGGGGACUCCAGGAGUCUGCCCGCUCGCGCCGUUUCGUCCUGUCACCCCGGCAACGGGACCCUCUAAGAGGCUUGUUCCAAAAAUGUUCACAAUGGGGUUUUUAAAAACGGUUUUGUUAGGGACAAGUGCUUGUGUGAGUCCUCCGACAAUGCCUGCUUUCUUCUCUCUGCCCGCGGAGCGGAGGCUCCAGGCCUGGCCCCAGUCCGAGGCGCCUCUGUCGGUGUCGUCCUGCUUCCAAAACCGGCCUCCAGAACCCGCCUCCUUCCAGAACCUCCGUCCAGAACCCGCCUCCCUCCAGAACCUCCGUACAGAACCCACAUCCUUCUAGCACCUGCCUCUGGAACCCACGUGCUUUCAGAACUACCUGUUUGUAGAACUUGUUUCCAGAACGAACCUGCUUUCCGAAUCUCUUUACUUCCAGAGCUUGUUUCCUGGACUGACCUAUUUUCAGAACCUACUUUCAAAACCAGCUUGCCUCCAGGACCACCUGCUUGGAGAACUGGCCUGCAGCCCCAGGACUGGACGACCUGAGACUGCACAGCUCCCUGCGGGGCUCACCCGGCUGUGUGUGUCCUUCCGGGCCUUCCAUACUUCCCUAGGUGUCUGGUGACUCCGGAGCCCGCUCGGAUUUCGUGUGGGUCUCGCCUCAGCUCAGAACACACCCUUUGAAGAGCAGGAAGGCCAGGGCACAGGCGGUAACCACGGCUCCUGGUCAUCAAGUUCCUCUGAAGCCCAGGUCUUGUCCACGUUCACUGCCCCACCACAGGCCCAGCGGAGCCUUGGAGCUGAGCCCUGGGAUCAUUCUGGUGCCUGUGCUCCCGGCUCCGCAACAAGCACACAGGAGCCUGUCAUCCCCAGAUCUAAAUCCUGAAGGCUAAGCUCCGUGGUCUGCCGCAGCCAUCUGCAGCAGGCCCCUCCCAGCAACAGCCUUCUCAUAAGGCCCCUGCCAGCCACGCGAAACCUCCUGGCUAGGGCCUGUCUUCCACUCCUGGCCUUUUGAGACAGGGCCUCACUCUGUUCCCCAGGCCGGAGUGCAGUGGUACGAUCACAGCUCACUGCAGCCUCCACCUCCUGGGCUCAUGUGAUCCUCCCACCUCAGCCUCCUGAAUAGCUGGGACUACAGGCUUGCACCACCACACCCGGCUAAUUUUUGUAUAUUUUGUAGAGACAGGGUUUCGCCACAUUGCCCAGGCCCAGGCUGGUCUCAAACUUCUGGGCUCAAGCAAUUCAUCUGCCUCAACCUCCCAAAAGUGCUGGAUUACAGGGAUGAGCCACCAUACCCGGCUUUUUUUUUUCUUUCUCCUGGCCUUUUGGGGCCCUUGAAGUGUCUGCUCCCUGGGAGCCCUUCAGCUUGUCGUCCACUUGGUGGGUUCCCACCCGUCCUUCUCACUUCUGCCUGAAUCACACAGGCUACAUGAGACCUUCACCCACCCCCUUCGCCAGCAGCUCUGUGGUUCAAGUUUCCUCAAGGUUAGGGGCUCCUGGCCAUCUUACCUGUGGGCCUGAGCAUGGGCCGAUGCUUCCAAAGUUCACACUGGGUGCACUUGUGUGGGGACUUCCAUGUGAGUCAUCUCCUUGCAGGCUGCCAAGGUCCUGUACAGCAGAGACCCAAACCCUCUUAGCAGUCUUCAGAGUCAGCUAUGUGUACAGGAGGCAUUACCAUAUCAGUGACUGUCAGCAAGCAUGUGUGACUGAAAUGGUAUCCAGUUCUUACGUAUUUGUUUUGCAGGCUUCUUGGUUCAGCAGACAGAGGCCAUUGGGAAGUUAAGAGAGGCUCUCAAACUUUGAGGGUCAUAAGACUUCCCCUCCCUGCAGGGUGCUGUUUCCUGAAGGAAAAUAUUCAAUUACUAUUUUCUUUAUUUAUUUAUUGAGAUGGAGUCUUGCUCUUGUCGCCCAGGCUGGAGUGUGUGCGUGUGCGUGUGUGCGUGUGCGUGUGUGUGCGUGCAUAUGUGCGUGUGUGCGUGUGUGUGUGUGUGUGUGUGUGUUGGAGGGGGGUGGUGCUGCCUUUUUCUUUGCAUGCUUCUGUGUUACUGGAUUUGGCACAGCAAGAAUGUAUCACUGCACUCAAAAAAUUUAGAGUUUCCUUUUUGUUUUUUUAAAUUAUUUUAGAUUUGGAGGUACAUGUGUGGGUUUGUUACAUGUGUAUUGUGCACUUCUGAAGUUUAAAAAUUUAGGGGGAAAAAUGAAAGGAUGGGAGGUGAGAAAGUAGAGGAGAAUUUUGGUGUGACAGGCAGGGAACUGGACAGCGGCGGGAGGGGCACGGCAGUGAGCGCCGGGACCUUUUGCAGAUGAGGUGAUAAUUGCUGAUGGGGCUGCUUUAUGCUCGUUUUCUCUUUUGUAAUUUAUAAAGAAAAAAAAAUUGAGACAGGGUUUCGCCCUGUUGCC